RNAcentral lists this ribosomal RNA (270 nucleotides) under uncultured prokaryote. Its description in RNAcentral is "partial 16S ribosomal RNA". It matches the Rfam family "Bacterial small subunit ribosomal RNA", at positions 524 to 792 of the family's 1533-position model. The record is from RNAcentral.
UACGUAGGGUGCGAGCGUUGUCCGGAAUUAUUGGGCGUAAAGAGCUUGUAGGCGGUUUGUCGCGUCUGCUGUGAAAAUCCGGGGCUCAACCCCGGACUUGCAGUGGGUACGGGCAGACUAGAGUGUGGUAGGGGAGGACUGGAAUUCCUGGUGUAGCGGUGAAAUGCGCAGAUAUCAGGAGGAACACCGAUGGCGAAGGCAGGUCUCUGGGCAGUAACUGACGCUGAGGAGCGAAAGCAUGGGUAGCGAACAGGAUUAGAUACCCGGGUA